This 1771-nucleotide long non-coding RNA is filed under the name Junco hyemalis (dark-eyed junco). RNAcentral describes it as "lncRNA (ENSJHYG00000014865.1)". Lineage: Eukaryota; Metazoa; Chordata; Aves; Passeriformes; Passerellidae. The record is from RNAcentral.
CUAGGCUCCUCAGGAGACAAGUUGCUUCUUCCUCACUAGCUGAAAUGAUGAGCUACACCGGGGGCUGCUGUCCUGGAUCGAUUGAAUGUGCUGAUGCCCUGACACCCUUUGCAGAUACCAGACGUAUUUAGUACUUAGGGCAUGCCUCCAUACUGCUCUGUUUAUUCUGAGCCUCCUAGAAACCAUAUGUCUGUGAUUCAUGGGGCAUUGAGCCUGGGCUAAUCAGCUAUGUUGACAGGCAGGGUAUAUUUUAUUGAGCUUAGUGCAACCUUAAUGUUGUCGUGCUGUUUCCAGAAUACUUUGUGUGGAUGUGCCUGUGAUCAGAGGAGCUUAAAGUGACUUGGAAUUUGUCCCUGUCCAGUUCAGACAGCGUGACCUUUAAAGAGACUGUGAAGCAAUACUUCUUCCUUUUUCCUCUGUGCCCAAAGGCCAAUCCAGGACAAGGAGGUUUUGAAGGGACACAAGAAAAACAGAGCCAAAGUAAACACCAGCAAGGAAAGAGGAGCGGGGAGGAAGAAACAGAAAUAGCGGUGGAAAUCUGUCAGGGAGUAACCUCAUCAAGCAAGUGGUGUGCUUUUACUGCUGCUCAUCAUAGCCUUGCAGGGGGGAAAGGAGGCUGGCAGACCUCUGUGUGGAGAUUCAGAUGGAUCACUUUACCAGCUGUCAAGGCCAAUACUUCUGUACAGUCCCUGCUCUCAGCAACAUCCUCAGUGUCCUGGUGGUGGGGUGUCUUGGAAGGACUGUGCAGAUCAAGCUUCACACUCCCUCUGCACUUGAGGCUCUCUCUGCUCUGCCUUGUCUUCCCUGGACAAUGGAUGUAUUUUUCCCUACACCUUGGCUAAUGUGCAGUAACUAACAUGAGGUAAGCUGUAGUUGUAAUAUGAGUUAGCAGGGUGACGUGGCUCUUGGCCUCUUGGCAAAGUAUUCCCAUACUCCCUUGUCUUUGUGACAGUUUUAUCAAAUGUCAGCUCAUGUGUGCUAAGAAUAGGUCUUGCUGCUCUCUGCCUCAACAGAAGUGACCUCAGCCCUGACCUGGAGCUUCCCUGUCUCGAGUAGGGAUUGUUCAUGUGCCAGAGCCAUUCCAGCCGCAGUUCCUUAGCCCCCUGAGGUAGAAAUCUGUGCCCUGGUCUGCUCGAAAUUAGAGCUUUGGUGAUGCAAACCUAUUGAACAGCCCUUGACUGGCAGUCACUGUCACUCAUUGUCAACCUGAGCUUGUUUUGAGGAACCAGCUAUUGAAAACUUUUUUUUUUUUUUCUCUUAAAUUUUCCUUUGUAAGGAAGAUACGUGUUAAUAUCAGAUACUUAAGAAAAGGAGAAAUUGGAUCUGAUCUAUUUGUUUUUGUGCCACGCCAUCAUUCCAGGUGACCUAGUUUAAGAUUGUGAUGAGAUCUGAAGAGCAGAGUAUUGAAAAUGUUGUUUGUGAGAGCCUCUGCACCAGAGCAGUAUGGGGUAAAAUCAACUUAAUGAGAUGCUGGAUCAUCCAUAGAAUGCAUCUCUCUGUAAAUACUCAGUGGAUUUAUUUUCCUAGAGGAACACAAUGAACCACUCACAGGAAUGUACUUUUCUAAGGCUUGAAAAAAAUAAGUAGACAAUUUAGUUCUUUUAAGGGUUAAGCAGAAGCAAUUUUCUGCAGUAGCCCACAGUUGCAGAUGUCAUGGCAGUUGUCAUUGCCAGCCUGCUCUAGAUUCACAUCUAAUGAUGGAACAUUGGACAAACUUCAGUGUAAAUUUUUUCAGAAAUAAAAUAACUUUUUAAAAGUUGUUUGAAAAACA